GGGGGUGUAGCUUAGUGAUAGAGUGGCUGAUUGCAGAUCAGCAGGUCCUCAGUUCAAAUCUGGGGGCGCCCU
Molecule: non-coding RNA, 72 nt
Organism: Perkinsus marinus ATCC 50983
Lineage: Eukaryota; Perkinsozoa; Perkinsida; Perkinsidae
Source: Rfam